Molecule: ribosomal RNA, 2895 nt
Filed under: Verrucomicrobiales bacterium
Lineage: Bacteria; Pseudomonadati; Verrucomicrobiota; Verrucomicrobiia; Verrucomicrobiales
Description: 23S ribosomal RNA
Rfam family: Bacterial large subunit ribosomal RNA
Source: RNAcentral
UUUGAUCAAGCUACGAAGGGCAUGUGGUGAAUGCCUUGGUGCCAGGAGGCGAUGAAGGACGUAGCAAGCUGCGAAAAUCUCCGGUUAGCCGCAAGCAGGCCUUGACCCGGAGGUGUCCGAAUGGGACAACCCGUUUCCAGUCAUGUGGAAACAUUGGCGGAUGAAUUCAUAGUCCGUCAAAGCCAGACGGGGCGAAGUGAAACAUCUCAGUAACCCCAGGAAAAGAAAACGACCGUGAUUCCGUAAGUAGUGGCGAGCGAAAGCGGAACAGCCCAAACCGUGGAGACGUGUCUCUGCGGGGUUGCGGGGCCUCAGUAGAGUGACCGGCGGCGAGCACAAUCAUCUGGAAAGUUGAGCCAAAGACCGUGACAGCCGGGUGUGCGAAGUCAAAAGUCACUUGGAGGGUUCCCCAAGUAGCGCGGUGCACGUGAAACACUGCGUGAAUCUGUCCGGACCACCGGAUAAGGCUAAAUACUACCUGGCAACCGAUAGUGCACAAGUACCGUGAGGGAAAGGCGAAAAGAACCCCUGUUAGGGGAGUGAAAUAGACCCUGCAACCGCAUGCCUACAAGGUGUGGGAGCCCUGCUUCGGCGGGGUGACCGCGUGCCUUUUGCAUAAUGAGUCUGCGAGUUAUCGUCUGUGGCAAGCCUAAGUCGCUCUGCGGCGUAGGCGAAGGGAAACCGAGUGUGAAAUGCGCGUCCAGUCGCAGGCGAUAGACCCGAAGCGGAGGUGAUCUACUCAUGAGCAGGAUGAAGCUGCGGUAACACGCAGUGAAGGUCCGAACCAGUGUGCGUUGAAAAGUGCUUGGAUGACUUGUGAGUAGGAGCGAAAGACUAAACAAACCCCGUGAUAGCUGGUUCUCUCCGAAAUUGCUUGAGGGCGAGAGUCGGGUCAGUACACCGUGGGGGUAGAGCACUGAAUGGCUUAGGGUCCCUACCAGGAUACCAAAACCAAUCAAACUCCGAAUACCACGGUUCCCAUUACCCCGGCAUUGAGACAGUGGGGGAUAACCUUCAUUGUCGAAAGGGAAACAACCCAGACCGUCGGCCAAGGUGCCAAAAUGCCGCUCAGUGGAAAGGAUGUGACGUUACUUGGACAGUGAGGAUGUUGGCUUAGAGGCAGCCACCAUUUAAACAAUGCGUAAUAGCUGACUCAUCGAGUGAUGUCGCGCCGAAAAUGAUUGGCGAUCAAGCGGCAUACCGCAGCCACGGAUCUGCGAGACUUGUCUCGCAGGUGGUAGGAGAGCGUGACCAACGCGGCAAAGCUGGAGGGCAACUGAAAGUGGAGCGUUGGCCAGUGAGCAUGCAGACACGAGUAGCGAUAAACCAGAUGAGAAUUCUGGUCGCCGUAAACCCAAGGUUUCCUGGGGCAGGUUCGUCCUCCCAGGGUUAGCCGGGAGCUAAGACGAGGCCGAUGGGCGUAGUCGAUGCACAGCAGGUUAAUAUUCCUGCGCCGGUGACGGUUAAGCAUGUUGGGGACGCGGAUGGAAAAGUGAUUACCUGAUCGAAUUGGGAGCCUAGCCUUCGGGCGAAGCAGAUCACCGGACCGUCCGCCGAGAAAAGCCAGCAUGUGUUCCCGUUGCCGCUCGUACCGUAAACCGACACAGGUGGGUGGGUGUAAAUGCACCAAGGCGAGCGAGAUAAACCUCUCUAAGGAACUCGGCAAGUUAGCCCCGUAACUUCGGGAGAAGGGGCGCCUUCAGGGGGUGCAGCAAUGUGAUCCUUGAAGGUCUCAGAUAAUUGCGCUUGGCGACUGUUUAACAAAAACACAGCUCUCUGCAAAGUCGUGAAGACGACGUAUAGGGAGUGACACGUGACCAAUGCGGAAAGAUUAAGGUGUCUUGUUAGCCGCAAGGCGAAGCUCGGUGCCAAAGUCCCCGUGAAUGUCGGCCGUAACUAUAACGGUCCUAAGGUAGCGAAAUUCCUUGUCGGGUAAGUUCCGACCUGCACGAAUCGUGUAACGACCGAGCGACUGUCUCGGAGAGGUUCUCGGCGAAACUGUAAUGGCGGUGAAGAUGCCGCCUGCCCGCAGUAGGACGGAAAGACCCUAUGCACCUUUACUGUAAGCUGGUAUUGGGUUCUGGUUAUGGAUGCGUAGCGUAGGUGGGAGACGUUGAUGCGGCGGCCUCGGUUGUCGCGGAGUCACAAUGUGAAACACCACUCUUCCCUAAUUAGAAUUCUAACCCCGAUUCCUGUGAAGCCAGGCGGGGGACAGUGCCUGCGGGUCAGUUUGACUGGGGCGGUUUCCUCCCAAAGAGUAACGGAGGAGCGCGAAGCUCGGCUCAGCACGGUUGGCAACCGUGUGUCGAGGGCAUGGCUACAAGCCGGGUUAACUGUGAGACCUACAAGUCAAGCAGGUGCGAAAGCAGGCCCAAGUGAUCCGAUGGUGGAAUGUGGAAUUGCCAUCGCUCAACGGACAAAAGGUACGCUAGGGAUAACAGGCUGAUCGCUGCCAAGAGUUCAUAUCGACGUAGCGGUUUGGCACCUCGAUGUCGGCUCGUCGCAUCCUGGGGCUGAAGAAGGUCCCAAGGGUCCGGCUGUUCGCCGGUUAAAGCGGCACGCGAGCUGGGUUCAGAACGUCGUGAGACAGUUCGGUCCUUAUCCACUGUGGGCGUAGGAGACUUGAGGGGUUCAUUCCUUAGUACGAGAGGACCGGGAAUGACGCACUUCUGGUAUGGCAGUUGUUCCGUCAGGGGCAGCGCUGCGUAGCCAUGUGCGGACGAGAUAAGCGCUGAAAGCAUCUAAGUGCCAAGCUCCUCCCAAGAUAAGGUCUCCCUUCCGCGCAAGCGGACUAAAGACCCCAAGUAGACCACUUGGUUGAUAGGCCAGGCGUGCAAGCGUGGUGACACGUUUAGCGGACUGGUACUAAUAGGUCGUGCGGCUUGAUCUCUAUCA